UUCCCUUCACUUAAAACCAGUAAGAAACCAAAACCAAAUCUCUCUUUAUAUCAAAAGUCCCACAAAAAAUGGCUUCUUUUCUUUCACAUACUUCAUCAGCAUCACCCUUCAGCACAGAUUAUAAAUAUAUAACUACCCUUAAAUUCCAUCAUUUAUCCCCCAAAAUAUACAGAUUUAAGGGCUAUGCACAAAAUAAAGAAAAGAGUAAUAAUAGUUCAGUCACAACACAGAAAAAAGAUAAAGGGGAACCUGAAAAUGUGGUGCUUAAAGUAGCAUGGUAUGCUUCUGAACUUCUGGGUAUUGCUGCUUCUGUUCUCCGAUCACCGUCUUCCGAUGUUGUCGAGGAAUGUUCCAGCCUUCCUUGUGAUGAUAAUGGUGCUGUUGAUCGAGCUGUUGUGGUUCAAACCAUCAAACAAGACUUUCAAAGGUCUUACUUUGUCACAGGAAAUCUGACGCUUGGUGCGUAUGAAGUCGAAUGUGAAUUUGCUGAUCCAGCAGGCUCAUUCAAAGGGCUUAAAAGAUUUAAGAGGAAUUGUACCAACUUUGGCUCCCUUAUUACAAAAUCUGACAUGAAACUUACAAAAUGGGAAGACUUUGAGGACAAGGGCAUUGGACAUUGGCGUUUUAGCUGUAUCUUGUCUUUCCCUUGGAAGCCUAUCCUUUCUGCUACAGGUUAUACAGAGUAUUUUUUUGAUUCAGAAUCUGGUAAGGUUUGCCGGUAAGUUGCAAACAAAUAUGAUGGAGUAUAGUUUGUUUUUUAAUUUCUACGUCAUAACUCUAAGCUUUCGACUUUUUGCGUGGGACUCAAAUAUGUUUUUUAUAUCCGCAUGACCCGAGCUUUUGGUACCAACAAAAGGCAUGUGGAGCAUUGGAAUGUUCCAAAGAUGGCACUGCUAAAGCAAAUAUUGAAACCAAGUAGGCGAAUUACUAGCUAGGCAAAUCUCGAGUUAUAUACUUGAUGUAUCUUUGUAAUGUUGUAUUACUUAUAUUUAGACGAGUUUAGAAAAUAUAUAUGUAUUUGAUUUAACUUAAGUCAUAAAAAGAUUGAAAGUAAGACAAAAUGGAUGUUAAUUCACUGUUAAUUAAGCAUCGGGUCGUCUUUAAGUCAA
Amaranthus tricolor (Joseph's coat) is the source of this 1109-nucleotide RNA transcript. RefSeq lists it as uncharacterized. Lineage: Eukaryota; Viridiplantae; Streptophyta; Magnoliopsida; Caryophyllales; Amaranthaceae. The transcript is spliced from 5 exons. The record is from RefSeq and is a predicted model, not a curated record.